UAGUUGCGCCAUAAUACUGGAGAAACCAUGUCAGAAGUUCUUACGAAACAAUAGCGCAUCUGUUAGUACAAGCAAUCUUCAUUCAGGUGUUGUAAGUAUUUUGUCGGUUUAUUUCCUUGAUGUCCAGAGAACGUAUCUGAAUGCAUGUGAUAUUCAAGCGAAUUAGCUGCGAAAAACUGUGCUCGAAAUUGCAGCUUUAGAGAAUGCGGAUUUAAAUUUACUAUUUGAUAUGAUAAAUAAACGAAGGGUAUGGCAGAUAUGUUGGUUCUCAUCUGUGCAGCAGCAAUUCUUUUACUGAUGAUUCUUCUUUCUAUUCUUGCGGCUAAAAUGGUAUCAACUUUAUUUCACAUUCCAGUUCAUGAACCAGAGAACAGACGUCUAAUCUAUAAUGCACCUGAUCUGCAAACAUAUUCAGCUGUGCCUAUGACUGAUCAUCCUCAUUUCCGAAUACUUGAAGAGUAUGAACAGAGCAUAAGUUUAUUGAGUCAAACCAAACAAUCAACUAAUAAUGCAAACAAAACACGCAAAAAUAACUUUCUUUUUUAGUGGUAAAGAUGCUUCAGAAGCAAUGUGUACAUAAAAUUUCGCAUAAAAAAUGCAUGUAUAUCGAGCCAAGAGAUAAUAAAUAAAGUUUAUCUGCUAAGAGCUCUAAAA
This is a long non-coding RNA of Stegodyphus dumicola, 654 nucleotides long. RefSeq lists it as uncharacterized. The record is from RefSeq and is a predicted model, not a curated record. Lineage: Eukaryota; Metazoa; Arthropoda; Arachnida; Araneae; Eresidae.